Long non-coding RNA from Miniopterus natalensis, 674 nucleotides. RefSeq lists it as uncharacterized. The record is from RefSeq and is a predicted model, not a curated record. NCBI's taxonomy places the organism in Eukaryota, Metazoa, Chordata, Mammalia, Chiroptera, Miniopteridae.
AAAAAAAGGCCAGUUGCGUUUAAGUUUUAAGAUUUUAGCCACGUAAAACUGUAUUUCAGUGUGCAGUGCCCUGUCGCGUUUUGAAUUGUAGGAGGAGGCCUGGAGCUGGGAGUGGCUCAUUCCCGCGCCGGCUCCAAGGAGCGCGCGGUCCGUCCCGGCGGGUUGAGGGCCGGCGGCCCUGUGCCGUGCGGCCGGCAGUCUGACGCAGCAGCUUCCAUGAGCCUUUGUGUUGCCCAUUCACUUUUGGAAACUAGUGAACGUGGUGUCAAAAAAGGCGCAAACUAAACACUUAGCAGCCCUUUCCUGCCCUUGGAUUUGGUAUCUUGGGUGUAGGAGCUGUGUAAGUAACAGUGUGUGCUUUUACAUAAAUUUGUUCGCACCUGUGAUCUUGAGCCUGCCGACAUUAAGCGUAGAGUUUCUCAUGACAGGUUUAACUUGAUUUUUGUUUAGGGGAAAGAUGGAUGCUUGAAGCGUAGACUGCUAGCUGACUACUACCUGGGAGCACAAAGAUGACCUAAGGGUAUCAUUGGUGAAGAAUUUGAAAACUUAAUCUUUACAAGAGUUGCUUGGAUUGUUUAAAAUUUUCAAGAGUUUGAAGAGGGCCAAAACUGCCUCUGGACAGUCCAUAAAUAUACAUUUAAAACAAUGUAUCUGUGAAUAAAUAUUUAAAUGUG